CACGUAGGGCGCAAGCGUUGUCCGGAAUUAUUGGGCGUAAAGAGCUCGUAGGCGGUCUGUUGCGUCCGCUGUGAAAACUCGGGGCUUAACCCCGAGCCUGCAGUGGAUACGGGCAGACUAGAGGUAGGUAGGGGAGAAUGGAAUUCCCGGUGUAGCGGUGAAAUGCGCAGAUAUCAGGAGGAACACCAAUAGCGAAGGCAGCUCGCUGGGACGUUACUGACACUAAGGCGCGAAAACGUGGGGAGCGAACAGG
RNAcentral lists this ribosomal RNA (253 nucleotides) under uncultured bacterium. RNAcentral's name for it is "partial 16S ribosomal RNA". It matches the Rfam family "Bacterial small subunit ribosomal RNA", at positions 524 to 776 of the family's 1533-position model. The record is from RNAcentral.